Molecule: non-coding RNA, 72 nt
Organism: Ictidomys tridecemlineatus (thirteen-lined ground squirrel)
Lineage: Eukaryota; Metazoa; Chordata; Mammalia; Rodentia; Sciuridae
Source: Rfam
GGGGAUGUAGCUCUGUGGUAGAGCAUGUACUUGGCUUGCACAAGGCCCUAGAUUCAAUACCUAGUACCCUCA